GGAUGCGAUCAUACCAGCACUAAUGCACCGGAUCCCAUCAGAACUCCGAAGCUUAGUAGCGUGCUUCGGGCGACGCGAGUAGUACUAGGAUGGGUGACCCCCUGGGAAGUCCUCGUGUUGCAUCCC
Molecule: ribosomal RNA, 126 nt
Filed under: Ipomoea nil (Japanese morning glory)
Lineage: Eukaryota; Viridiplantae; Streptophyta; Magnoliopsida; Solanales; Convolvulaceae
Source: RNAcentral